Homo sapiens (human) is the source of this 5435-nucleotide long non-coding RNA. RefSeq lists it as uncharacterized. Lineage: Eukaryota; Metazoa; Chordata; Mammalia; Primates; Hominidae. The transcript is spliced from 2 exons. The record is from RefSeq and is a predicted model, not a curated record.
UCCAGCCUGGGCAACAAGAGUGAAACUCCAUCUCAAAAAAAAAAAAAAAAUGAGUAUUUAGUUAAAGAGACAACUUUAACAUUUUAUAACAGAAUGAUUUUAUUUUGUUUUGGUUAUUCAUCCUAACAAUGCACAUUUUACAAGUAAUAAUGUAUUAAUGCAAAUAAACAUGAUUAAAAUAGUUUCCUCUGUAAGCCAUAACAGUGCUGGGAAGAAUCCACAAGAAGUAUAGGUCAGUUGUGAAUAAAAAAACUGAAUGAAAAAUCUGCUUAAUGAAAUAUAAAUUAAAAGAUUUUAAGCAUAAUUUUAAUUUAUAAUUUUUUUUUUGAGACAGAGUCUUGCUCAGUUGCCCAGGCUGGAGUGCAGUGGCAUGAUCUCAGAUCACUGCAGCCUCCACCUCCCGGGUUCAAGUGAUUGUUGUGCCUCAGCCUCCCAAGUUGCUGGGACUACAGGCGUGCACCACCAUGCUUGGCAAAUUUUUGUUUUGAAAUGGGGUUUCACCAUGUUGGCCAGGCUGGUCUCGAACACCUGACCUCAAGUGAUCCACCCUCCUUGGCCUCCCAAAGUGCUGGGAUUGCAGGCAUGAGCCACUGUGCCCUGCCUGUAAUUUUUAUUUAAUUUUUCCGGUGAUGGCAUGAGUGAAUGUCCACAUUUAAAGUUAUUUUGGUUCACACAUGGCCUUUGUUUAUUAUUUAUGAGAAAAAAUUAUAGAAAUAAUUUAAGGGUGGUACAGAAAUGCAAAUCUAGAGGACUUAAAAUGUACAUGAAAACUCCAUUUGAUAUGACAAAUAAUUUACAGGUCAAAUAUUUUAAUAUUUAUAUAUAUAAUAGAUGCCAGUUAGCACAAUUGACAAGUUCUCUUUUACGGAAAAGGCCCCAAAAUGUCUUCUACUGAUGCCAGAUCAGUUGAUUAUCUAGGGAUAGAUAUCUGAAAUAAGCUAGGCCAAUUUGAUUUUCUCACUCAGGAAUUACUUUAUUGACUAAUUUUAUUAGUUCAUUCAGUCAGCAAGUAUUUAUUGAAGGCCUGUUACAUGUUUGGUUGCUAGAGAUACAAUGAUGGAAAAUUCAGAUAAAGUUUCUGCUCAAACAAAGAAAUUAAAUUGGCUAGACAUGGAAAUAGUGGCAUCCAAGAGGGAAGGUCUAUACAUUAGUGCUGUUAAGGCCUAUAGAACUCCUCUGAUUCCUGUCAUUAUUUAAAAAACAAAACAAAACAAAACAAAACAAAAAAAAACCUUGGCGGUUUAGUUAUUUCUUCAGUUCUGUGAGCUACCCAAGCAUCCUUCCAGUCUUUCCAAUAAAACGGACCACCUCCUUCUUACUCUUAUUUUUAAUUUCUUAAAUUUGUUUUAAGCCAAAAAACCCUAACCAAUAUAUAAAUUGGACCUAGGGUGGGGUUUUAUUAUGUACUCAGCUUAGGUCAGAUGGUUAGAUGUCUAGUCUUAUAUCUAACAGAUUGGCUAUGAAGAUGUGGAAUUUGAAUAAAAGUGAUAGCUUCUUUACACGUCCAAUCUUAGAGUAGGGAAAUGAGCAUUUCACAGCAGAAAGUUUUGUUCUGAACAAAACAGAGUCCCUUGUAGUGUAUAUCUAUCAUAUAUACUGCAUUAUGUUUGGUUAGGACUUGAAAAUUUUAUUUCAUUGCAUCAUGUUUUUGAUCAAGAAUUUGUAGGAAUUUUGUGCAACAAGAGGUUAUAAUGUUAAUACGUAUUAAUAUUCUGACCGAGGUUGAAGUCUUCAUUCUUGAAAGAAAAAAAAAAUGCAAAAGUAUUCUGAUCUCAGAAGAUAUGAAAACUAUCACUCUUCAGAAUUACUGGCUUUGUGUUUUGAACUAGCUCUUUCAAUAGUUUAACCUUCAACUUUUUAUACUUGUCAUAACUUGUUUAUUAAAUGAAUCACUAUGUCACCACAUUCUAUACUGAUUUACAUAGAGAAGAUGUUCAGUAAAAGUUGGCAUGAUUUAAAUUUUACAACAAUUAACCAUAGAGUUUCAUCAUAAGAUUGGUUUAAGUGCAUUCAUUAUUGCAGUUGCAAGGUUAUGAGUUGUUAAUGUUUCAGAAAAAUUUUUAAGGACCCCUUUUAAAAAACGUUUUGUGUUUACAUAUAUACAUACCUCCUUCAUCCUAGGUUUCACUUUCUCUAGUUUCAGUUAGCCAAGGUCAACCUUGGUCUGAAAAUUGAUGAGUACAGUAUAAUAAAAUAUUUUGAGAGGGAGAGAGAGAACAUUCACAUGGCUUGUAUUACAAUGUUAUUAUAAUCUAUUUAAUAAUUAUUUUUUUUUAAGAGAUGGAGGUCUCAUUCUAUCGCCCAGGCUGGAGUGCAGUGGUGUAAUCAUAGCUCACUGUAGCCUUGAACUCUAGGGCUCAAGCCAUCCUCCUGGCUCAGCCCCAAGUAGCUGGGAUUACAGCCAAGAACCACCACACCUGGCUAUUUUAUUAUUGUUGCUGUUAAUCUCUUAUUGUGCCUAAUUUGUAAAUUAAACUUAAUCAUAGGUAUGUAUAGGAUAAAACUUAGUACAUAUGUAGUGUUCAAUAUUGUUUGCAGUUUCAAGCAUCCACUGGGGGUCUUGGGGCGCAUCCCCUGGGGAUAGGGUGCUGGGACUACUGUGUUCCUUACACAGUUUCAUCUAAUGUUAACAUUUUGCAUAACCAUGGGACAGUUAUUCAAACUAGGAGGUUGACAUAUAUGUUAUUAACUGCAGGCCUUAUUUGAAUUCCACGUGUUUUUCUUCUAAUGCCUUUCUUCUGAUCAGGAUAUAAUCCAGGAUUGCACAUUAGAUUUAGUUGUCUUUAUUCUGCAGUCUAUAAUAGUUCUGCAGACUUUUUGUCUUCUAUGGCUACACUUUGAGUUUGUACAAUGUGCUCUCAUGAUUGGGCCAGAGUUAUGCAUAUUUGACAACAAUAUCACAGAAACAAUAUGUCUUUUGUCAUGGGGUUCACGAUGUAUGUCUUCUUUACUGGUGAUAGCAACCUUGAUCACUUGUUAAGGUGGUUUCUGCUGGGUUUCUCCACUGUAAAGCUAUCUUUCCAUUUGCAGUUAAUACAUUUCUUGGGAGACACUUUGAGACUAUGCAGAUAAAAUCUAAGGAUCUUUCUUUGUUCUUAAAUUUUUUUUUUAAUUUGUGUAAAUUUAUGGUCUUUUUUUUUUUUAAAUCUAACUAAUUACCAAGAUCUAUGGAUUUAUCAUUCAAAAUCAAUCUUUCCUUUUUUUUGGAUCAAGUUUAGAUCAGUUUCCUUAAAUUCAUUUUAUCAUUCAAUGAUCAAGUAUGCUAAAAUGAAAAACGCUAGGGAUGCGAAAAUGAACAAGAUGUAAAUCUUGUAGUAUCACCUAAUAGUAGGCCUUGGCAUUAGACAGAUCUGAUUUCAAACCCUAAAUUCUAAUCUUGGAGUCCUGUGAAGUUGUGCAAGUUGCUUACCUUUGUUGGGCCUCAAAUUACCUCACAGAAUUAUUAGUAAGGGAUAAAUAUGAAAUUCUAGAAAGGCAAAACUAGUCUACAAUGCCAGUACAUUGUUGAUUGCCUUGGGCUAAGAGUGGGAAGUUGACCCAAAGGGAGCUGAGGAACCUUUUGGGAUGAAGGAAAUAUCUUCUAUCUUAAUUUUUUUCCCAAAACCUUAUAGUGUACAUUUGAAGUGAGUAUAUUUUAUUGUAGGCAAAUUAUAUUUUAAUGAAAUUGAUUUGAAAACCAAGGUGGUUCUCCUUGAACCCAGUUUUCCAUUUAAUGGGAUAAAAUAUGAUAUGUAGAAUUCAUAAGUCUUAAGGUUUUAGAAAUCAGUCGUCUAGCUCUCCCUUAUCCAGAGGAGUCUUGUGACAAUUUAGCAUUUGCAGAGCAAUUUAAGAGUUUAAGUCUAUAGUUGUGACAGAGUAAGAAAUAUAUUUUUGGUCCUACCCCCAGUUCCUGACACAGAGAACAUGAAAGCCCUUAUAAUUUCCUGAGUUGUAGGAGUACUGUCCUAUAUUCUGUUUUAAUAUUUGGUCAUUGACCCUGGUUCCUGUCUCAGAACUCCUAAAUCCCUUUAAAUUUUUGGGGUGAUAGUAGAGUCUUUUGUUCUAAUGGGGUGACACUUGGGCUCCUGCAUAGCUUCAGAAUGGGGGCUGGUCACCAGAAAGUCCACACCAUAAUUAGAACCUUGGAAAUUUCAGCCCCACUCCCAUCUUCUGGAAAGGGGAGAGGGACUGGAGAUUGAAUUAAUAAUCGAUUAUACCUACAUGAUGAAUGCUAAAAAUUAUUAAACUGUGGGAUUUGGAGAGCUUCUAGGUUGCAUUGAAAUGAGUCCAGAGAGGCCAUGGGAGUUCUGUGCACCUCCUCUACCUUGCCUUACACAUCUCUUCCAUUUGGCUGUUUCUGAGUUGCAUUCAUUAUAAUAAACUGGUAAAUGUAACUAAAGUGCUUUCCUGAGUUUUGUGAAUUGUCAUAGUAAAUUAUCAAACCAAAUGGAGGAUGUCAUGGAAACCUCUGAUUUAUAACCAAUCCAAACAGAAGUUUGUGAAUAACCUGAGGACCCUUACUUGGAACUGGCAUCUGAAGUGGGAACAGUCUUGUGGGACUGAACCUUUAAGCUGUGGGUUCUGCACUAACUCUGAGCAGAAUUGGGUUAAAUUGUAGGACAGUCAGUUGGUGACUGCAGAGAAUUGGAGCAUUGCUUGGUAUGGAAAACCCACACAUUAAGACCCACUGGUGUUUCUGUGUGAGUAUAGGAGAAAAACAAUGUUUUCAUUUAGUAGUCAUCGCAUUUUGGCAUGUCUUUAGGUCUGAGACUCUCAAGUUAUUCUUUUUCUUAAGUAGAUUCCAAACUCAGGAUCUUUCUGAUCUCUUUUGGUCUCUUUAGAAUCUUUUAAAUUGAUUAUCUAUGGAGUUUGAUUACCUAGAGGUUCAAAUUGACUGAAGUCAACUUCUUGGGACUCCUUUGAGUACAGAAUUUUAUUCUUCCCUUUGCAACCACAGAACUGGCUGGAUUCUGAGAUGCAGAAAUAUAAAGAUACGGAGAACAUGAGAAGUUAAAAAGCAACUAAAGGAAAGUUUGGGUCAUUGAUUUUGUGGUUUCAGUACAGUCAUGUACCACAUAAGGAUGUUUUAAUCAACAAACAACUGCAUAUACAAUGGUGGUCCCAUAAAAUUAUAGUAAAGCUGAAAAAUUCCUAUCUCCUAAUGACAUUAUACCUGUCAUAACUUGUAUUGCAACACAUGAUCUUUUCUAUGCCUAGAUACACAAGUACCAUUGUGUUACAAUUGCCUAAAUUUAGUACAGUAACAUGCUGUAUAGGUUUGUAGCCUAUAAGCAAUAGGCUAUAGCAUCUAUUAACAGGUUUGUGUAAAUGCACUCUGAUGUUCGCACAAUGAUGAAAUCACUGAAUAAAGGCGGUUUUCAGAACAUCUAUCUGUCAUUAGGAGAUGCAUAACUGUACACAUAUAAAAGCUAAUAAAAAUCUUACAGAACCCUAAA